This 628-nucleotide ribosomal RNA is filed under the name uncultured Bacteroidales bacterium. Its description in RNAcentral is "bacterial SSU rRNA". It matches the Rfam family "Bacterial small subunit ribosomal RNA", at positions 87 to 714 of the family's 1533-position model. Lineage: Bacteria; Pseudomonadati; Bacteroidota; Bacteroidia; Bacteroidales. The record is from RNAcentral.
GAUGGCGACCGGCGCACGGGUGAGUAACACGUAUCCAACCUGCCGAUGACUCGGGGAUAGCCUUUCGAAAGAAAGAUUAAUACCCGAUGGCAUAGUUCUUCCGCAUGGUAGAACUAUUAAAGAAUUUCGGUCAUCGAUGGGGAUGCGUUCCAUUAGGUUGUUGGCGGGGUAACGGCCCACCAAGCCUUCGAUGGAUAGGGGUUCUGAGAGGAAGGUCCCCCACAUUGGAACUGAGACACGGUCCAAACUCCUACGGGAGGCAGCAGUGAGGAAUAUUGGUCAAUGGACGAGAGUCUGAACCAGCCAAGUAGCGUGAAGGAUGACUGCCCUAUGGGUUGUAAACUUCUUUUAUACGGGAAUAAAGUGAGGCACGUGUGCCUUUUUGUAUGUACCGUAUGAAUAAGGAUCGGCUAACUCCGUGCCAGCAGCCGCGGUAAUACGGAGGAUCCGAGCGUUAUCCGGAUUUAUUGGGUUUAAAGGGAGCGUAGGCGGACGCUUAAGUCAGUUGUGAAAGUUUGCGGCUCAACCGUAAAAUUGCAGUUGAUACUGGGUGUCUUGAGUACAGUAGAGGCAGGCGGAAUUCGUGGUGUAGCGGUGAAAUGCUUAGAUAUCACGAAGAACUCCGAUU